This 1978-nucleotide long non-coding RNA is filed under the name Oryzias sinensis (Chinese medaka). RNAcentral's name for it is "lncRNA (ENSOSIG00000000339.1)". Lineage: Eukaryota; Metazoa; Chordata; Actinopteri; Beloniformes; Adrianichthyidae. The record is from RNAcentral.
UCUGCUCCCACCUGCAGGAACGUUUCAUUAGCCAAGAAGUAUGAAGAGGAGGAACCAACGAAGGACUCUGACCCUAAGCCCAGGUCUGGAGACCAGGACAGAAGAAGGAAAAGGACCAGAAGCAGGUCCAGGUCAAGAGGAAGAUCCAGAGGUUCCAAGAGCUCCAGAACCCGGUCAAGAUCCAGACAAAGAUCAGAGGGAAGCAAAAAGAGGAGCACAUCCAGAUCAAGAGACAGCAAAACGUCCAGAAGUCACGGUAGAACCAGGUCCAGGUCCAAAGAACGCUCAGAGGGAAGAAAAAGGAGCAGAACCAGGUCCGCAUCCAUAGAACAAUCCAGCAACUCCUCCAGACAGAACCAGAAUAAAGAGACCUCAAAAGAACCAGGUGAGGAGGUAGACCUGAAGAGCAGCGUCAGGAAGGUGGCCAAGCCCGGUUCUGGGUUGGAGGGUGGUUCUGGUGAUUGACAGGUUUGACAGCAGCUUUACCUUUAAUCCAGAACCAACUGAGGCAGAACAAAAACCCAAAUAAUGGGAUUGUCAGUGCUGCCCGUGGUCUCAUGAUCAUGGAGAAACAUCCGCUGGAAAACACAUUGAUCUCACUCUUCCACCGUAUUCUGCUCCUCAUCCUCCUCUUUGCUCAGAGCCUCCUCUCAGAGUGGAGCUCCAGACGGUCACAGGUAACAUCCCACACCAAGAAGCUGCUGGUGACGAUGAGGAGGACAGCAUGUCCACCGACGGGAGUGACAAGGGGAUGGAGGUGAUCGCAGAGGACGGGAGGAUGAUCAAGGAUAAGGAUGAAGAAAGCCUGAAAGAGGAAAGUGCUGAGGAGAACAGGACCUCUGAAGAGAUGCCAGCCUCAUCUGAGAGAGAAGAGGAGAAGAAAAUGGACACUGAGGAUGAGGAGAAGACUUCAGCGGGAGCAGAGGAGAUGGACGUGAAGGAUGCAGGCGCCGAAGAUCAGGAGCAGCUCAUGACUGAGGAGAAAGAGGGAGAGGAGGAGAGGCUGAGGGAGAUAAAGGAGGAGGAGACGGAGGAAGCUGGUUUCCCCCUGAACCUGGAGGACUGCAUCACUCUGGAUGAAGUUCACUCAGAUGAUGAAGGUGAAGGUGACGGAGGUGAAGCGUCUCAGCUGGAGGCCAGCAGGGUGGUGUCCUUCAGCGCCGUACCGCAGGGCUGCACCCACGCAGAGCUCAUCAAAGUCAUGAGAGGCUUUGGGACGGUGGUUCGAUACCUGUUGAUCCGGGACCAGCAGCAGGCCUUCGUGGAAAUGUCGAGUCCCUCCGAGGCUCAAACUGCUGCAGAGGAGCUGAACUCCAACUGCAUCAGCAUCAACGGCUGCCGGCUGAUCGGCUCUGUGUCACGGGAAAAUACCAGACUCACCGACGGGUGGGACGUUAAAGGUGACGAAGAUGAGGAGAGGAGGAGUGAGCAAAGUGACAGGAGAACCUCCGAACCAGAGGAGAAGCCAUCUGAGGAGGUUCGUGAGAAAGACGCAUCAGAGACGGAGGUUCAGGAAGGAGAGGAGACGCCAGAGACGAGUCAAGAGACUCCUUCAGACAAGACGGGAGAAAAUAAAACUGAGGGAAAAGAGAGCAGAGAGACUCCAGCAAAGAAAACGGUUCCCGAAGACAAGAAUCCACCUGAAGAUCAGGAUCUCCAACAGCAAAGAGACGCCGAGAAGCUGAGCGACUCCCAUGAACCUGAAGUGAGGGAUCCAGAGAGAGCGGAUCAUCCAGAAACCGCUGAACAGAAUGCUGUGGCGGCGCCACCUUUUGCACCUGCAGGGGGCGCCACUGAAGCAGAACGACUCUCCAAGGCCGUUGGAGCUGAGUUUGUGCGUCCAGUUGUGGGUUAUUACUGCAAUCUGUGUCAGCUGAUCUUCUCUGACGAGGACGAAGCAAAGGGGGACCACUGCCGCACGCCGGCCCACUAUGCCAAAUACCAGGAGAAGACUGGGAAAGAUCCGUGGACCAGCUGA